GGCCNUUCGGGUCGUAAAGNUCUGAUGCGAGAGAUGAAGAAAGUGACAGUAUCUCNCCAGCANGCNCCGGCUAACUACGUGCCAGCAGCCGCGGUAAUACGUAGGGUGCAAGCGUUGUCCGGAAUUACUGGGCGUAAAGGGAGCGUAGGUGGUUACACAAGUCAAUAGUAAAAGGCAUGGGCUCAACCCAUGUAAGCUAGUGAAACUGUGUAACUUGAGUACAGUAGAGGUAAGCGGAAUUCCUAGUGUAGCGGUGAAAUGCGUAGAUAUUAGGAGGAACACCAGUGGCGAAGGCGGCUUACUGGGCUGUAACUGACACUGAGGCUCGAAAGCGUGGGGAGCAAACAGGAUUAGAUACCCUGGUAGUCCACGCCGUAAACGAUGAGUGCUAGGUGUUGGGGGUUUAGAUACCUUCAGUGCUGUAGUUAACGCAAUAAGCACUCCGCCUGGGGAGUACGAUCGCAAGAUUGAAACUCAAAGGAAUUGACGGGGGCCCGCACAAGCAGCGGAGCAUGUGGUUUAAUUCGAAGCAACGCGAAGAACCUUACCAAGUCUUGACAUCCUCUGAACGCUCUAGAGAUAGAGAUUUCCCUUUGGGACAGAGAGACAGGUGGUGCACGGUUGUCGUCAGCUCGUGUCGUGAGAUGUUGGGUUAAGUCCCGCAACGAGCGCAACCCUUAUGUUUAGUUGCCAGCACGUAAAGGUGGGGACUCUAGACAGACUGCCGGUGACAAACCGGAGGAAGGUGGGGACGACGUCAAAUCAGCAUGCCCUUUAUGACUUGGGCUACACACGUGCUACAAUGGUCUGUACAAAGAGAAGCGAAACCGUGAGGUGGAGCGGAUCUCAUAAAGCAGAUCUCAGUUCGGAUUGCAGGCUGCAACUCGCCUGCAUGAAGUUGGAGUUGCUAGUAAUCGUAGGUCAGCAAUACUACGGUGAAUACGUUCCCGGGCCUUGUACACACCGCCCGUCACACCACGAGAGUUGGUAACACCCGAAGCCGGUGGCCUAACCNNAAAAGG
RNAcentral lists this ribosomal RNA (1022 nucleotides) under uncultured Eubacteriales bacterium. RNAcentral describes it as "bacterial SSU rRNA". It matches the Rfam family "Bacterial small subunit ribosomal RNA", at positions 413 to 1446 of the family's 1533-position model. The record is from RNAcentral. Lineage: Bacteria; Bacillati; Bacillota; Clostridia; Eubacteriales.